AUGGUUACUUAUAUAAAGGGUGUGAUGAAUGGACUGCCUGGGACCAAUGGACCUGGAGGGGAAGAGAUUAAGGGGGGCAACAUACAGGUUGUUGGUUCAACCAGAACCUCACUACUGGCCAGAGUUGAGAAAUUUAAGAUGGUGAAGUUUUGUCAGUGUAAGUGUUCAGUAUGUCGUCUGAAGGAUCUCCCACAGAGACCGAAAACAAAGAAGUUGCUCCAGAAAAAGAUCAAGAAGACAAGGGAAAAGGAUGCAGGUGUCAGCGUGGAUUUGGAGGAAGAUGCCAGGUGUGGACUGAGCUUCUGUGAACACAUGACCGCAAGACCGAGACAGAAGGGCUACCAGUCUUCCCGUCCUUGCCUGCCUGAGAUCUUCUGCAAUUGUGCAAGAGCUUUGAUUCUCAUAAAGCACUCUGAAUGUCCCAUCUCUUGUCUGCGGCUCCAGGGACAGGGAGCGUCUGGGAAACUGAGAGCAACAGAUGGUGAUAAGACUCCUCCCUGCAAACACUUCUUCAGGAAUGAGUGGAAGAAAAUGAGAAGCAGAUAG
RNAcentral lists this long non-coding RNA (546 nucleotides) under Oryctolagus cuniculus (rabbit). RNAcentral's name for it is "lncRNA (ENSOCUG00000031983.1)". The record is from RNAcentral. Lineage: Eukaryota; Metazoa; Chordata; Mammalia; Lagomorpha; Leporidae.